AGAGUUUGAUCCUGGCUCAGAACGAACGCUGGCGGCGCGCUUAAUACAUGCAAGUCGAGCGAGAAAGUCACCUUCGGGUGGCGAGUAAAACGGCGAACGGGUGAGUAACACGUAAGCAACCUACCUCUAAAUCUGGGAUAACCUUGCCAACGCGGGGAUAAUACCGGAUGUGAUCAUUUAGCCACAUGGUUUUUUGAUUAAAGAUGACCUCUACUUGUAAGUUAUUGUUUAGAGAUGGGCUUGCGGACCAUUAGCUUGUUGGUAGGGUAACGGCCUACCAAGGCGACGAUGGUUAGCCGACCUGAGAGGGUGAUCGGCCACAUUGGGACUGAGAUACGGCCCAGACUCCUACGGGAGGCAGCAGUAGGGAAUUUUGCGCAAUGGACGAAAGUCUGACGCAGCGACGCCGCGUGAGUGAUGAAGGCCUUCGGGUCGUAAAGCUCUGUUAAGUGGAAAGAAAACUAUAAGGAACAAUACCCUUAUACUUGACGGUACCACUUGAGGAAGCCCCGGCUAACUACGUGCCAGCAGCCGCGGUAAUACGUAGGGGGCAAGCGUUGUUCGGAAUCACUGGGCGUAAAGGGAGUGUAGGCGGAAGGGUAAGUUAGAAGUUAAAUAUAUGGGCUCAACCCGUAGUCAGCUUUUAAUACUGCUUUUCUUGAGUAUGGGAGAGGGAGAUGGAAUUCCAGGUGUAGCGGUGGAAUGCGUAGAUAUCUGGAAGAACACCAGUUGCGAAGGCGGUCUCCUGGACCAAUACUGACGCUGAGGCUCGAAAGCUAGGGGAGCGAACAGGAUUAGAUACCCUGGUAGUCCUAGCCGUAAACGAUGGAUACUAGUUGCUGGAGGAGUCAAUCCUUUCAGUGACGAAGCUAACGCAUUAAGUAUCCCGCCUGGGGAGUACGCUCGCAAGGGUGAAACUCAAAGGAAUUGACGGGGGCCCGCACAAGCGGUGGAGCAUGUGCUUUAAUUCGAUGCAACGCGAAGAACCUUACCUGGGUUUGGCAUGGAAGUGAAAGUUUCUAGAGAUAGAAGCCUUUCCGCAAGGAACACUUCACACAGGUGCUGCAUGGUUGUCGUCAGCUCGUGUCGUGAGAUGUUGGGUUAAGUCCCGCAACGAGCGCAACCCCUGUUCUUAGUUGCCAUCAGGUAACGCUGGGAACUCUAAGAAGACUGCCUGGUAUAACCAGGAGGAAGGUGGGGAUGACGUCAAAUCAUCAUGGCCCUUACGUCCAGGGCUAGACACGUGCUACAAUGGCCGGUACAAUGGGAUGCGAGACUGUGAAGUUCAGCUAAUCCCCCAAAACCGGUCUCAGUUCGGAUUGGAGUCUGCAACUCGACUCUAUGAAGUUGGAAUCGCUAGUAAUCGCGGAUCAGCAUGCCGCGGUGAAUGCGUUCCCGGGCCUUGUACACACCGCCCGUCAAGCCAUGAAAGACGGUAGUACCCGAAGUCGUUCACCCAACCUCGUGAGGGAUGCGCCGAAGGUAAGACUGUUGAC
RNAcentral lists this ribosomal RNA (1496 nucleotides) under metagenome. RNAcentral's name for it is "bacterial SSU rRNA". It matches the Rfam family "Bacterial small subunit ribosomal RNA". The record is from RNAcentral.